GGGGGAUGGUUUGGGUGGAGUCUAUUGUGGUAUGUCAGGUAAGAGUAGUUUCAUCAAAGUAUCAAUCAAAUCUAAUCAUAAAUAAAGAAGUUAUGGCAAUUUUAGCAAAAUUUAAUAAUUUGACCUUGAGAGUCAAGGUCAUUCAAAGGUCAAGGUAAAAUUCAACUUGCCAGGUACAGUAACCUCAUGAUAGCAUGAAAGUAUUUGAAGUUUGAAAGCAAUAGCCUUGAUACUUUAGAAGUAAAGUGGAUAGAAACACAAAAUUUAACCAUAUAUUCAAAGUUACUAAGUCAAAAAGGGCCAUAAUUCCGUAAAAAUGACAACCAGAGUUAUGCAACUUGUUCUUUUACUGUACCCUUAUGAUAGUUUGCGAGUGUUCCAAGUAUGAAAGCAAUAUCUAUGAUACUUUAGGGGUAAAGUGGACCAAAACACAAAACUUAACCAAAUUUUCAAUUUUCUAAGUAUAAAGGGCCCCUAAUUCCGUCCAAAUGCCAGUCAGAGUUACAUAACUUUGCCUGCACAGUCCCCUUAUGAUAGUUAAUAAGUGUUGCAAGUAUGAAAGCAAUAGCUUUGAUACUGUAGGAAUAAAGUGGACCUAAACACAAAACUUAACCAAAUUUUCAAUUUUAUAA
Dreissena polymorpha is the source of this 632-nucleotide long non-coding RNA. RefSeq lists it as uncharacterized. NCBI's taxonomy places the organism in Eukaryota, Metazoa, Mollusca, Bivalvia, Myida, Dreissenidae. The record is from RefSeq and is a predicted model, not a curated record. The transcript is spliced from 2 exons.